UCAUCUAAGUGUGGUGAUUCCAUAAUUUUUUCCAGGGGUUGUACUAUUAAAUGUUCUUACUUUAAUUGAUUUUUGAAUUCUGUAAUAUUCUCUUCCUUUAUUAUCUAAAUCCCAUAUUUUUGCCACUGUUUGUCAUUAUUACUUUUUAUUAUAGCUUUACCUUCAUUGUUUUCCAAGAGGAAUCUCAAUUUUAUCAGUAAGAUUUAGUGCUUUUUUCACUAAUUUAUCAGCUUCCUCAUUACCUAAGAUUCCUAUAUGUGCUGGUAUCCAACUAAACUGAACAUCUAUUCACAAUCUUUAUAAAUUUAACAAUGCUGUGUAUUUUUAUGUUUUAGUGAUAUAAAUACGUCAAUAUUGUAUGUUUUUUGUGUGUAUGAACAAUGACUGAAUUCAUAUGUUUGGGUGAACUAACCCUUUAUGCACCCAAAUAGAAACUGUAUGAAAUUUAUGUAUGCAUUUAUAUUAUAGUACCUUGAAAAAGUAAACUUUAAGAAAUAAGCAGCUUUAAUUAGCAUUUGUGCCUAAGACACUAACAAAAAAGGAUUUUCAAAAAUCACAUUUACAUUUGACCAUUUGGCAGAUGCUGUUAUCCAAAGUGACUUACAGUGCUCUUAUUACAGGGAUGAUCCCCGUGGAGUAACCUGGAGUAAAGUGUCUUGCUCAAGGACACACUGGUGGUGACGGCUGCGGCGAUCGAACCAGAAACCUUCUGCUGACCAGCUCAGCAGUUUAACCCACUACACCACAAAAUCAUGCUGAUGGAGAGCAGGCACACGAAUGUUUGGAGCAGACACAGCGGCAGCCAGAUUGUCCCACACAUCUUCUCCCACUCUUGCUUCAAGGUUGUGGGGUUCAGGGGUCCAUCAUCAUGGUCUUCCUCAUCCUCUGGAUCAACGAUGUCCCCAUUGAGAAGAGCAGCAGUGAGGGACAUGAUGGAUGACAAAGACAGGUGAAGGUGUUCACGGUGGUCAGCUGCAGAAUGGGCACAGCUGUGUUGAGAUGGCAGCAGGAUGUGGGGAUCACCGCCCGCAAAUACGUGAUUGUUAGAACAAUAAAUUUGAAUAAAGCUUUGUUUCAUGUGCUG
Molecule: long non-coding RNA, 1084 nt
Organism: Ctenopharyngodon idella (grass carp)
Lineage: Eukaryota; Metazoa; Chordata; Actinopteri; Cypriniformes; Xenocyprididae
Exons: 2
Source: RefSeq, a predicted model, not a curated record